This 250-nucleotide ribosomal RNA is filed under the name uncultured bacterium. Its description in RNAcentral is "partial 16S ribosomal RNA". It matches the Rfam family "Bacterial small subunit ribosomal RNA", at positions 71 to 339 of the family's 1533-position model. The record is from RNAcentral.
AAGCUAGCUUCGGCUAGUGGAAAGCGGCGGACGGGUGAGUAACGCGUAGAAACAUACCCCAGAGUGAGGGAUAAUUCCGAGAAAUCGGGACUAAUACCGCAUACUAUCUACGGAUAAAAGAUUUAUCGCUUUGGGAAUGGUCUGCGUCUGAUUAGUUUGUUGGUGGGGUAAAGGCCCACCAAGACGAUGAUCAGUAGCUGGUCUGAGAGGAUGAUCAGCCACACUGGAACUGAGACACGGUCCAGACUCC